CAUAAUGUUGGGUUGAAAGAAAUGGAUGCAAUUAUGAAAAGUCAAGAUCAGAUAUUUGUGAUACAACCACCACAUAGAAGAAGACAGAGACAAAAUUAUAGUGUGUCCUUUUGUGUGCCCAAACAGGGGGCAGUCCUCUACCGUCCGAUGACUAUGUCCACAUCUCAGCGUAUGAAAACUGGUUGGCCAGACAAGCAUGCUAAAUUGCCAAUUCAACAAACAUCAACCAGAAACACCGAUGAGAAAAAUUGAAGGCUGAAAACAAGUCUGUCUGUCUCUGAGAAGCUGAAGCUGAAGUUGUGAUGCGCUGCCGUUGAGGUAAAAGGGAAUCUUGAACAAGUGGCGCAUAUUAGCUGGCAUGACCCCUAACGCCCAUCACUCACACAAAAAUAUAUUAAUGCAACAAAUCCAAACCCUCUAUAUAUAAACUACUGUGAUGGCAUCUUCCUUCAUCUUCAUAUCCACCAUACACACUUAGCCUUCUUAGAUCAUUGAAAACUAAAACAAUGAACAACAGGGUGAGGGUGGUUCGUGUUGCUCCGGCAUACGGUGGCAACAAGUUGGGAGGGAAAAAGCCACUUCCAAAAAGAGGGCAGAUCAAAUCAAAGAUUGCAGCAAAUGCAUUUCAUUCCAUCAUCUCUGUCAUCUCCAGGGCAGGAGCCUCUUCUUCAUCUGCCAUAAAUUCUCGAAGGAAAAGUUGAAAAUUGAAUCCAUUCCAAGUCCAUGCAUAAUUCAAAGAUAUUUCUUCACUUUCUUGCAUGUACGUAUGUAUAUUGUAGCUAGGCUAGGUACUAGGUAGCUACUUCAUUUUCUUUUUGCUUUCGGUCACUGUAAUGUCUCUUUUUUGGUGUGUUUUUGGACAUGGGCCAUUUCUUUGGUUUUGAGAUCUCUUUCUUUAGGGGUCCCUGGGUAAAAGAAAUUGGGCUUAUCUAGCCCAUCUCUGCAUCAAAACAAUCUAUAUUAAGAACUAUCGGGCUCAAGUCCAAAAAAAAAGUAUCGGGCUCAAGCCCCAACUAUAUGGACGUAAUUAGAUCUUAAAUAAAACGUUGUACUCUUUUAUG
Molecule: non-coding RNA, 1061 nt
Organism: Arachis ipaensis
Lineage: Eukaryota; Viridiplantae; Streptophyta; Magnoliopsida; Fabales; Fabaceae
Source: RefSeq, a predicted model, not a curated record